This 297-nucleotide ribosomal RNA is filed under the name uncultured Sphingomonadaceae bacterium. RNAcentral describes it as "partial 16S ribosomal RNA". It matches the Rfam family "Bacterial small subunit ribosomal RNA", at positions 112 to 426 of the family's 1533-position model. Lineage: Bacteria; Pseudomonadati; Pseudomonadota; Alphaproteobacteria; Sphingomonadales; Sphingomonadaceae. The record is from RNAcentral.
UACGCGUGGGAAUCUGCCCUGGAGAGGGGGAUAACCGAGGGAAACCUCGGCUAAUACCGCAUACGUCCUGAGGGAGAAAGAUUUAUCGCUCUAGGAGGGGCCCGCGUCGGAUUAGCUUGUUGGUGGGGUAACGGCCUACCAAGGCGAUGAUCCGUAGCUGGUCUGAGAGGAUGAUCAGCCACACUGGGACUGAGACACGGCCCAGACUCCUACGGGAGGCAGCAGUGGGGAAUAUUGGACAAUGGGCGCAAGCCUGAUCCAGCAAUGCCGCGUGAGUGAUGAAGGCCUUAGGGUUGU